Molecule: ribosomal RNA, 440 nt
Filed under: uncultured bacterium
Lineage: Bacteria
Description: partial 16S ribosomal RNA
Rfam family: Bacterial small subunit ribosomal RNA
Source: RNAcentral
CCUACGGGGUGCAGCAGUGGGGAAUAUUGCACAAUGGGGGAAACCCUGAUGCAGCGACGCCGCGUGAGUGAAGAAGUCAUUCGUUAUGUAAAGCUCUAUCAGUAGGGAAGAAAAUGACGGUACCUGAGUCAGAAGCCCCGGAUAACAACGUGCCAGCAGCCGCGGUAAGACGGAGGGGGCAAGCGUUAUCCGGAUUUACUGGGUGUAAAGGGAGCGUAGACGGGAGUGCAAGUCUGGAGUGAAAGGCGUGGGCUCAACCCCCGGACUGCUCUGGAAACUGUACGGCUGGAGUGCAGGAGGGGUAGGUGGAAUGCCUAGUGUAGCGGUGAAAUGCGUAGAUAUUAUGAAGAACACCGAUGGCGAAGGCGGCUUACUGGACUGUAACUGACGUUGAGGCUCGAAAGCGUGGGGAGCAAACAGGAUUAGAUACCCGUGUAGUC